GAUGAACGCUGGCGGCGUGCCUAAUACAUGCAAGUCGAGCGAACAGAUGAGGAGCUUGCUCCUCUGACGUUAGCGGCGGACGGGUGAGUAACACGUGGAUAACCUACCUUUAAGACUGGGAUAACUUCGGGAAACCGGAGCUAAUACCGGAUAAUAUAUUGAACCGCAUGGUUCAAUAGUGAAAGACGGUUUUGCUGUCACUUAUAGAUGGAUCCGCGCCGCAUUAGCUAGUUGGUAAGGUAACGGCUUACCAAGGCAACGAUGCGUAGCCGACCUGAGAGGGUGAUCGGCCACACGGGAACGGAGAACCGGCCCAGACCCCUACGGGAGGCAGCAGUAGGGAAUCUUCCGCAAGGGGGGAAAGCUUGACGGAGAAACGCCGGGUGAGUGAUGAAGGUCUUCGGAUCGUAAAACUCUUUUAUUAGGGAAGAACAAAUGUGUAAGAAACUAUGCACGUCUUGACGGUACCAAAUCAGAAAGCAACGGCUAACUACGU
RNAcentral lists this ribosomal RNA (496 nucleotides) under uncultured bacterium. RNAcentral describes it as "partial 16S ribosomal RNA". It matches the Rfam family "Bacterial small subunit ribosomal RNA", at positions 28 to 506 of the family's 1533-position model. The record is from RNAcentral.